AGCAAAAAUCCAACUCCGUUCACCUAAUUCUACAAUAACUUCACUUUCCAUUAACGAAGCUGCAUAUUUAUGUGCUUUGAUUACUCUUGCCCCUCACUCUCUAAGCCGUACUAUACAUAUAGGAGGCAUUAAUUUCUUAGUUAUAAUUUCAUUUAUAUAAGAGGGCUAUGGCUAUCUUGGUAGAUGUCUUUGAAGGGGUAUGUCUAUGUGUUUCAACUCUGUGGGAUCUGCAAGAAAUGCGCUUUGCAAAUGUGUUUGAUGGUCAGGCAGGACAUGGACUGAGUUGUUUUACUCUUGAUAGGUUUGUUUGUAUUGUUGUUGCUAGGAUCGAGUGGUGCGUGGUAAAUAUAACAUCAGACCACCACACCUAGGAGCGUUGGUUGGAAUUGUUUUUGUUGUUCGUUAUUUUCUUUUUCCUCAAAUUCUUGAUAUCUUUUUGUGUUAUAAUCGCAUGAGUUCGCUUUCUCACAAGAAUGCUUCUUCUUCUUUUAUAUAUAUAUACUUGGUAGUUAUUAAAAUCCCCCGAAGACAUCUUUUCGAAGAUUCAAAUGAUUGUCCUCAAAGGGAAGCAAGCUAUUCUUCUUACAAUCUGAUAGAUUGUGUGUUAUGUAUAGAACAAUGUUAUAGGUCAAGAGGUUUUUUUAUAUAUAUAUAAAAAAUGUGUGACAAGCCUUGCUGCUGGAAAA
Molecule: long non-coding RNA, 686 nt
Organism: Populus nigra (black poplar)
Lineage: Eukaryota; Viridiplantae; Streptophyta; Magnoliopsida; Malpighiales; Salicaceae
Exons: 2
Source: RefSeq, a predicted model, not a curated record